UACGAAGGGGGCUAGCGUUGCUCGGAAUGACUGGGCGUAAAGGGCGCGUAGGCGGCCUGGACAGUCGGAUGUGAAAUUCCUGGGCUCAACCAGGGGGCUGCAUCCGAGACGUUUGGGCUGGAGUGAGGAAGAGGUUCGUGGAAUUCCCAGUGUAGAGGUGAAAUUCAUAGAUAUUGUGAAGAACACCGGUGGCGAAGGCGGCGACCUGGUCCUUUACUGACGAUGAGGCGCGAAAGCGUGGGGAGCAAACAGG
This 253-nucleotide ribosomal RNA is filed under the name uncultured bacterium. RNAcentral's name for it is "partial 16S ribosomal RNA". It matches the Rfam family "Bacterial small subunit ribosomal RNA", at positions 524 to 776 of the family's 1533-position model. The record is from RNAcentral.